CUACAUCUACCCUGUAGAUCCGAAUUUGUCUGAAUCUCAGACUACUUAACAAAUUCGGUUCUAGAGAGGUUUGUGUG
RNAcentral lists this microRNA precursor (77 nucleotides) under Orchesella cincta. RNAcentral's name for it is "mir-10 microRNA precursor family". It matches the Rfam family "mir-10 microRNA precursor family". From Rfam's summary of the family: In this case the mature sequence comes from the 5' arm of the precursor. The extents of the hairpin precursors are not generally known and are estimated based on hairpin prediction. Lineage: Eukaryota; Metazoa; Arthropoda; Collembola; Entomobryomorpha; Orchesellidae. The record is from Rfam by way of RNAcentral.